RNAcentral lists this ribosomal RNA (254 nucleotides) under uncultured bacterium. RNAcentral's name for it is "partial 16S ribosomal RNA". It matches the Rfam family "Bacterial small subunit ribosomal RNA", at positions 524 to 776 of the family's 1533-position model. The record is from RNAcentral.
AACGUAGGGGGCAAGCGUUGUUCGGAUUUACUGGGCGUAAAGGGCGCGUAGGCGGUCAGCACAAGUCGCGUGUGAAAGCCCCCGGCUCAACUGGGGAGGGUCACGCGAUACUGGUCGACUCGAAGGCAGGAGAGGGUAGUGGAAUUCCCGGUGUAGUGGUGAAAUGCGUAGAUAUCGGGAGGAACACCAGUGGCGAAGGCGACUACCUGGCCUGCUCUUGACGCUGAGGCGCGAAAGCUAGGGGAGCAAACGGG